GACGAACGCUGGCGGCGUGCCUAAUACAUGCAAGUAGAACGCUGAAGAGAGGAGCUUGCUCUUCUUGGAUGAGUUGCGAACGGGUGAGUAACGCGUAGGUAACCUGCCUUGUAGCGGGGGAUAACUAUUGGAAACGAUAGCUAAUACCGCAUAACAAUGGGUGACACAUGUCAUUUAUUUGAAAGGGGCAACUGCUCCACUACAAGAUGGACCUGCGUUGUAUUAGCUAGUAGGUGAGGUAACGGCUCACCUAGGCGACGAUACAUAGCCGACCUGAGAGGGUGAUCGGCCACACUGGGACUGAGACGCGGCCCAGACUCCUACGGGAGGCAGCAGUAGGGAAUCUUCGGCAAUGGGGGCAACCCUGACCGAGCAACGCCGCGUGAGUGAAGAAGGUUUUCGGAUCGUAAAGCUCUGUUGUAAGUCAAGAACGAGUGUGAGAGUGGAAAGUUCACACUGUGACGGUAGCUUACCAGAAAGGGACGGCUAACUACGUGCCAGCAGCCGCGGUAAUACGUAGGUCCCGAGCGUUGUCCGGAUUUAUUGGGCGUAAAGCGAGCGCAGGCGGUUUGAUAAGUCUGAAGUUAAAGGCUGUGGCUCAACCAUAGUUCGCUUUGGAAACUGUCAAACUUGAGUGCAGAAGGGGAGAGUGGAAUUCCAUGUGUAGCGGUGAAAUGCGUAGAUAUAUGGAGGAACACCGGUGGCGAAAGCGGCUCUCUGGUCUGUAACUGACGCUGAGGCUCGAAAGCGUGGGGAGCGAACAGG
This 765-nucleotide ribosomal RNA is filed under the name uncultured Streptococcus sp. RNAcentral's name for it is "bacterial SSU rRNA". It matches the Rfam family "Bacterial small subunit ribosomal RNA", at positions 28 to 776 of the family's 1533-position model. The record is from RNAcentral. Lineage: Bacteria; Bacillati; Bacillota; Bacilli; Lactobacillales; Streptococcaceae.